AACGAACGCUGGCUGCAGGCCUAACACAUGCAAGUCGAGCGAGGACUUCGGUCCUAGCGGCGGACGGGUGAGUAACGCGUGGGAACGUGCCCUUUGCUUCGGAAUAGCCCUGGGAAACUGGGAGUAAUACCGGAUGAGCCCUUUGGGGGAAAGAUUUAUCGGCGAAGGAUCGGCCCGCGUUGGAUUAGGUAGUUGGUGGGGUAAUGGCCCACCAAGCCGACGAUCCAUAGCUGGUUUGAGAGGAUGAUCAGCCACACUGGGACUGAGACACGGCCCAGACUCCUACGGGAGGCAGCAGUGGGGAAUCUUAGACAAUGGGGGAAACCCUGAUCUAGCCAUGCCGCGUGAGCGAUGAAGGCCUUAGGGUUGUAAAGCUCUUUCAGCUGGGAAGAUAAUGACGGUACCAGCAGAAGAAGCCCCGGCUAACUCCGUG
Molecule: ribosomal RNA, 433 nt
Filed under: uncultured bacterium
Lineage: Bacteria
Description: partial 16S ribosomal RNA
Rfam family: Bacterial small subunit ribosomal RNA
Source: RNAcentral